UACGUCGGGGGCGAGCGUUGUCCGGAUUUACUGGGUGUAAAGGGUGCUCAGGCGGGUCUGUAAGUCAGGGGUGAAAUCCCAGAGCUUAACUCUGGAACUGCCUUUGAUACUGCAGAUCUCGAGUUUGGGAGAGGCGAGUGGAAUAUCUGGUGUAGCAGUGAAAUGCGUAGAUAUCAGAUAGAACACCCAUGGCGAAGGCAGCUCGCUGGCCCAAUACUGACGAUAAAGCACGAAAGCGUGGGGAGCAAACAGG
Molecule: ribosomal RNA, 253 nt
Filed under: uncultured bacterium
Lineage: Bacteria
Description: partial 16S ribosomal RNA
Rfam family: Bacterial small subunit ribosomal RNA
Source: RNAcentral